GAGUUUGAUCCUGGCUCAGGAUGAACGCUAGCGACAGGCCUAACACAUGCAAGUCGAGGGGCAUCACGAAUAGCAAUAUUUGGUGGCGACCGGCGCACGGGUGAGUAACAGGUAUGCAACCUACCCUAUAGCGGGGUAUAGCCUCUUGAAAGAGAGAUUAACACCCCAUAGUAAUUUGCGUUCGCAUGAACACAUAUUUAAAUGCAAAGCUAUUGGAUGGGCAUGCUCUCCAUUAGAUUGUUGGUGAGGUAACGGCUCACCAAGUCUUCGAUGGAUAGGGGUUCUGAGAGGAAGGUCCCCCACACUGGUACUGAGACACGGACCAGACUCCUACGGGAGGCAGCAGUGAGGAAUAUUGGUCAAUGGUCGAGAGACUGAACCAGCCAUGUCGCGUGCAGGAUUACAGCCCUAUGGGUUUUAAACUGCUUUUAUACGAGGGUAAAGUGUGUCAUGUAUGGCAUAUUGCAAGUAUCGUAUGAAUAAGGAUCGGCUAACUCCGUGCCAGCAGCCGCGGUAAUACGGAGGAUCCGAGCGUUAUCCGGAUUUAUUGGGUUUAAAGGGUGCGUAGGCGGGACAAUAAGUCAGCGGUGAAAUAUCUCA
RNAcentral lists this ribosomal RNA (600 nucleotides) under uncultured Bacteroidota bacterium. Its description in RNAcentral is "bacterial SSU rRNA". It matches the Rfam family "Bacterial small subunit ribosomal RNA", at positions 9 to 606 of the family's 1533-position model. Lineage: Bacteria; Pseudomonadati; Bacteroidota. The record is from RNAcentral.